GAUGAAGAACGCAGCGAAAUGCGAUAAGUAAUGAGAAUUGCAGAAUUCCGUGAAUCAUCGAAUCUUUGAACGCACAUCGCGCCCUCUGGUAUUCCGGGGGGCAUGCCUGUCCGAGCGUCAUUUGCAACCCUCAAGCCCGGCUUGUGUGAUGGGUGCCGUCCCCUACGGGACGCGCCCCGAAGGCAAUGGCGGCGUCGCGGUUAUCCGAUCAGCCAAAGUGUAUGGGGCUUUGUCACUCACUUUACGGCCCGGACCGGCGCCAGUCCGAAUCAAUCUUUUUUCUAAAGUUGACCUCGGAUCAGGUAGGGAUACCCGCUGAACUUAAGCAUAUCAAUAAGCGGAGGA
This 345-nucleotide unclassified non-coding RNA is filed under the name soil metagenome. RNAcentral describes it as "partial contains 5.8S ribosomal RNA, internal transcribed spacer 2, and large subunit ribosomal RNA". The stretch from base 1 to 120 matches the Rfam family "5.8S ribosomal RNA", at positions 35 to 154 of the family's 154-position model. The record is from RNAcentral.